CCUACGUGUGACAGCAGUGAGGAAUAUUGGUCAAUGGGCGGAAGCCUGAACCAGCCAAGUAGCGUGCGGGAUGAAGGCCCUACGGGUCGUAAACCGCUUUUGCACGGGGAUAACACCCUCCACUUGUGGAGGUCUGCAGGUACCGUGCGAAUAAGGGCCGGCUAAUUCCGUGCCAGCAGCCGCGGUAAUACGGAGGGCCUGAGGGUUAACCGGAUUCAUGGGGCUAAAAGGGAGCGUAGGCGGGCGUUCAAGUCAGCGGUAAAAUCGCGCGUCUCAACCGCGCCCCGCAGUUGAAAGUGGACGCCUUGAGUUCACAACAGGCAGGCGGAAUUCGUGGUGUAGCGGUGAAAUGCAUAGAUAUCACGAGGAACCCCGAUUGCGAAGGCAGCCUGCCGGGGUGCGACUGACGCUGAGGCUCGAAGGUGCGGGUAUCAAACAGGAUUAGAUACCCUUGUAGUC
RNAcentral lists this ribosomal RNA (459 nucleotides) under uncultured bacterium. Its description in RNAcentral is "partial 16S ribosomal RNA". It matches the Rfam family "Bacterial small subunit ribosomal RNA", at positions 338 to 795 of the family's 1533-position model. The record is from RNAcentral.